UCUCCGUUGGUGAACCAGCGGAGGGAUCAUUACCGAGUUUACAACUCCCAAACCCAAUGUGAACGUUACCAAACUGUUGACUCAGCGGGGUCACGCCCCGGGUGCGUCGCAACCCCGGAACCAGGCGGCCGCCGGAGGAACCAACCAAACUCUUUCUGUAGUCCCCUCACGGACGUUAUUUCUUACAGCUCUGAGCAAAAAUUCAAAAAGAAUCAAAACUUUCAACAACGGAUCUCUUGGUUCUG
Molecule: unclassified non-coding RNA, 245 nt
Filed under: plant metagenome
Description: partial contains small subunit ribosomal RNA, internal transcribed spacer 1, and 5.8S ribosomal RNA
Source: RNAcentral